This 71-nucleotide transfer RNA is filed under the name Sphaerodactylus townsendi. Its description in RNAcentral is "tRNA-Ala". It matches the Rfam family "tRNA". From Rfam's summary of the family: Transfer RNA (tRNA) molecules are approximately 80 nucleotides in length. Lineage: Eukaryota; Metazoa; Chordata; Lepidosauria; Squamata; Sphaerodactylidae. The record is from RNAcentral.
GGGGUUGCAGUUCAGUGUAGAUCAUUUUCUUUGCAAGCAGAAGGUGCCAGGUUCGAUUUCUGGCAACUCCA